GAUGAACGCUGGCGGCGUGCCUAAUACAUGCAAGUCGAGCGAACGGACGAGAAGCUUGCUUUUCUGAUGUUAGCGGCGGACGGGUGAGUAACACGUGGAUAACCUACCUAUAAGACUGGGAUAACUUCGGGAAACCGGAGCUAAUACCGGAUAAUAUUUUGAACCGCAUGGUUCAAAAGUGAAAGACGGUCUUGCUGUCACUUAUAGAUGGAUCCGCGCUGCAUUAGCUAGUUGGUAAGGUAACGGCUUACCAAGGCAACGAUGCAUAGCCGACCUGAGAGGGUGAUCGGCCACACUGGAACUGAGACACGGUCCAGACUCCUACGGGAGACAGAAGUAGGGAAUCUUCCGCAAUGGGCGAAAGCCUGACGGAGCAACGCCGCGUGAGUGAUGAAGGUCUUCGGAUCGUAAAACUCUGUUAUUAGGGAAGAACAUAUGUGUAAGUAACUGUGCACAUCUUGACGGUACCUAAUCAGAAAGCCACGGCUAACUACGUG
RNAcentral lists this ribosomal RNA (497 nucleotides) under uncultured bacterium. Its description in RNAcentral is "partial 16S ribosomal RNA". It matches the Rfam family "Bacterial small subunit ribosomal RNA", at positions 28 to 507 of the family's 1533-position model. The record is from RNAcentral.